GGGAAUCUUCCGCAAUGGACGAAAGUCUGACGGAGCAACGCCGCGUGAGCGAAGAAGGUCUUCGGAUCGUAAAGCUCUGUUGUUAGGGAAGAACAAGUACCGGAGUAACUGUCGGUACCUUGACGGUACCUAACCAGAAAGCCACGGCUAACUACGUGCCAGCAGCCGCGGUAAUACGUAGGUGGCAAGCGUUGUCCGGAAUCAUUGGGCGUAAAGCGCGCGCAGGCGGUCCUUUAAGUCUGAUGUGAAAUCUUGCGGCUCAACCGUAAGCGGUCAUUGGAAACUGGGGGACUUGAGUGCAGGAGAGGAAAGCGGAAUUCCAUGUGUAGCGGUGAAAUGCGUAGAGAUAUGGAGGAACACCAGUGGCGAAGGCGGCUUUCUGGCCUGUAACUGACGCUGAGGCGCGAAAGCGUGGGGAGCAAACA
Molecule: ribosomal RNA, 425 nt
Filed under: uncultured bacterium
Lineage: Bacteria
Description: bacterial SSU rRNA
Rfam family: Bacterial small subunit ribosomal RNA
Source: RNAcentral